GGCUAGCGUUGCUCGGAAUCACUGGGCGUAAAGGGUGCGUAGGCGGGUUUUUAAGGCAGGGGGGAAAUCCUGGAGCUCAACUCCAGAACUGCCUUUGAUACUGAAGAUCUUGAGUCCGGGAGAGGUGAGUGGAACUGCGAGUGUAGAGGUGAAAUUCGUAGAUAUUCGCAAGAACACCAGUGGCGAAGGCGGCUCACUGGCCCGGUACUGACGCUGAGGUGCGAAAGCGUGGGGAGCAAACAGG
This 244-nucleotide ribosomal RNA is filed under the name uncultured bacterium. Its description in RNAcentral is "partial 16S ribosomal RNA". It matches the Rfam family "Bacterial small subunit ribosomal RNA", at positions 533 to 776 of the family's 1533-position model. The record is from RNAcentral.